GGCCAGACUCCUACGGGAGGCAGCAGUGGGGAAUAUUGGGCAAUAGGCGAAAGCCUGACCCAGCAACGCCGCGUGAAGGAAGAAGGCUUUCGGGUUGUAAACUUCUUUUGACAGGGAAGAGCAGAAGACGGUACCUCUUGAAUAAGCCACGGCUAACUACGUGCCAGCAGCCGCGGUAAUACGUAGGUGGCAAGCGUUGUCCGGAUUUACUGGGUGUAAAGGGCGUGUAGCCGGGCUGACAAGUCAGAUGUGAAAUUCCGGGGCUCAACCCCGGACCUGCAUUUGAAACUGUUGGUCUUGAGUAUCGGAGAGGCAGGCGGAAUUCCUAGUGUAGCGGUGAAAUGCGUAGAUAUUAGGAGGAACACCAGUGGCGAAGGCGGCCUGCUGGGCUUUUACUGACGCUGAGGCUCGAAAGUGUGGGGAGCAAACAGGAUUAGAUACCCGUGUAU
Molecule: ribosomal RNA, 449 nt
Filed under: uncultured bacterium
Lineage: Bacteria
Description: bacterial SSU rRNA
Rfam family: Bacterial small subunit ribosomal RNA
Source: RNAcentral